RNAcentral lists this ribosomal RNA (710 nucleotides) under uncultured marine alveolate. Its description in RNAcentral is "SSU rRNA". It matches the Rfam family "Eukaryotic small subunit ribosomal RNA", at positions 617 to 1333 of the family's 1831-position model. The record is from RNAcentral.
GGUAAAAAAGCUCGUAGUUGGAUUUCUGUCAAGGACGACCGGUCCAUACCACGUAUGCGUAUCUGGCUCGGCCUCGGCAUCCUCUCGAAAUACGUUUCUGUGCUUCAUUGCAUGGUGCGGAUCUCGGGACUUUUACUUUGAGGAAAUUAGAGUGUUCACGGCAGGCUAUCGCCAGAAUACAUUAGCAUGGAAUAAUACUAUAGGAUCUCGAUUCUAUUUUGUUGGUUUCUAGAAUCAAGAUAAUGAUUAAUAGGGACAAUUGGGGGCAUUCGUAUCAACACGUCAGAGGUGGAAUUCUUGGAUUGUGUUGCGACGAACUACUGCGAAAGCAUUUGCCAAGGAUGUUUUCAUUGAUCAAGAACGAAAGUAAGGGGAUCGAAGACGAUUAGAUACCGUCGUAGUCUUUACCAUAAACUAUGCCAACUAGAGAUGGGACAUCGUUCAUUUACGACUUGUUCCGCACCUUAUGAGAUAUCAAAGUUUUUGGGUUCCGGGGGGAGUAUGGUCGCAAGACUGAAACUUAAAGGAAUUGACGGAAGGGCACCACCAGGAGUGGAGCCUGCGGCUUAAUUUGACUCAACACGGGGAAACUCACCAGGUCCAGACAUAAUAAGGAUUGACAGAUUGAUAGCUCUUUCUUGAUUUUAUGGGUGGUGGUGCAUGGCCGUUCUUAGUUCGUGGAGUGAUUUGUCUGCUUAAUUGCGUUAACG